Molecule: non-coding RNA, 736 nt
Organism: Lolium perenne
Lineage: Eukaryota; Viridiplantae; Streptophyta; Magnoliopsida; Poales; Poaceae
Source: RefSeq, a predicted model, not a curated record
UCAUUGAUGACUUUUCAUUUGUUUAGAUUCAGAUUUACUAUGAUUUCUUGGUGCUAUCAUGUUGCAGGUUUGCAAAUAAAAAGUUGGGGUUCCCACAAAAUCUUCUGGGUUCAAGGGCCAGCCACGCCAUGGUAUAAACUAGAGCUCAGAAAUAAUCGGUAUUGGCACAGGAAGUAUGUGCACGUGAACUCUUGAAGUGUUGUAAUCCUCUAUCAAGUAACAAACAACACAAAAGUUGAGCUAUCAUAAUGUGCGCUCAUAAAAUGUCCAGGUUUGAGGCUCACAGGAGAUAUCGAUGAAUUGAGUUGUUGUAUGGAUGGAAGUCACGUUUGAUCCAUUUCCUGAAGGCACAUAGUUUCUCGAAGGUCGAUCCUCGUUGUUUUAUCUUAGGUAUACAUGCAUCAUCUAUUUACAAAACGGUUAUUUGGAAUAUUCGUGGCUUUGACAUCUUAUAGAAAAAUGGUUCAUUUGUUGUAUAACUUCUGCAAGCGCCAGUGGUCUCGGUGGCUGAACCAAUACUCUCACUGUGUGCCCUCGUUUUACUCUUUCCCAACUUAAGAUGCGGAGAUUUCCAGGAGGAUUGCUAAUUUUGUUGACAACGUGCUCACGAUGCCCCGUCGGUCGAGCCAUGGAAGAAGCUAUUGUGGUUGCUGCCUCAACACCGUCUGCAGGGCAAAAUCAAUAUCCGUGCUGCCGCUGGUGAGAUGGAGACGACGAUUUGAAGUCCCAGCAGCAU